CAGUCGCCGCGGUAAUACAGAGGGUGCGAGCGUUAAUCGGAUUUACUGGGCGUAAAGCGUGCGUAGGCGGCUUUUUAAGUCGGAUGUGAAAUCCCUGAGCUUAACUUAGGAAUUGCAUUCGAUACUGGGAAGCUAGAGUAUGGGAGAGGAUGGUAGAAUUCCAGGUGUAGCGGUGAAAUGCGUAGAGAUCUGGAGGAAUACCGAUGGCGAAGGCAGCCAUCUGGCCUAAUACUGACGCUGAGGUACGAAAGCAUGGGGAGCAAACAGGAUUAGAUACCCCCGAGUCCCUGUCUCUUAUACC
This 301-nucleotide ribosomal RNA is filed under the name uncultured bacterium. RNAcentral's name for it is "partial 16S ribosomal RNA". It matches the Rfam family "Bacterial small subunit ribosomal RNA", at positions 509 to 808 of the family's 1533-position model. The record is from RNAcentral.